RNAcentral lists this ribosomal RNA (1047 nucleotides) under uncultured archaeon. RNAcentral's name for it is "bacterial SSU rRNA". It matches the Rfam family "Archaeal small subunit ribosomal RNA", at positions 376 to 1424 of the family's 1478-position model. The record is from RNAcentral.
AAUUCACUAGUGAUUAGGGCAUAUUAGCCCUCGCUUUUCUCGACUCUAAGGUGGUCGACGAAUAAGAGCUGGGCAAGACCGGUGCCAGCCGCCGCGGUAAUACCGGCAGCUCAAGUGAUGUCCCAUAUUAUUGGGCCUAAAGCGUCCGUAGCUGGCCGACCAAGUCUAUCGGGAAAUCCACCCGCCCAACGGGUGGGCGUCCGGUAGAAACUGGCCGGCUUGGAACCGGAAGGCUCAGAGAGUACGUCCGGGGUAGGAGUGAAAUCCCGUAAUCCCGGACGGACUACCGAUGGCGAAAGCACUCUGAGAAGACGGAUUCGACAGUGAGGGACGAAAGCUCGGGUCUCAAACCGGAUUAGAUACCCGGGUAGUCCGAGCCGUAAACAAUGCUCGUUAGGUGUGGCACCCACUACGAGUGGGUGCUGCGCCGUAGGGAAGCCGCUAAACGAGCCGCCUGGGAAGUACGUCCGCAAGGAUGAAACUUAAAGGAAUUGGCGGGGGAGCACUACAACCGGAGGAGCCUGCGGUUUAAUUGGACUCAACGCCGGACAUCUCACCAGCCCCGACAUCAGUAAUGACAGUCAUGUUGACGACAUCCGCUCGAGCUGAUGAGAGGAGGUGCAUGGCCGCCGUCAGCUCGUACCGUGAGGCAUCCUGUUAAGUCAGGCAACGAGCGAGAUCCACGUCCCUAAUUGCCAGCACCAUCGCACGAUGGGUGGGUACAUUAGGGAGACUGCCAGUGCUAAACUGGAGGAAGGAAUGGGCAACGGUAGGUCAGUAUGCCCCGAAUGGGCUGGGCAACACGCGGGCUACAAUGGUCAGGACAACGGGUUCCAACACUGAAAAGUGACGGUAAUCUCGCAAACCUGGUCGUAGUUCGGAUUGUGGGCUGAAACUCGCCCACAUGAAGCUGGAUUCGGUAGUAAUCGCGUGUCAGAAGCGCGCGGUGAAUACGUCCCUGCUCCUUGCACACACCGCCCGUCAAAGCACCCGAGUGAGGUCCGGAUGAGGCCACAUCACUGUGGUCAAAUCUGGGCUUCGCAAGGG